AUGAGACUGGUGACAAGACUGACUGUGCUUCUGGCAUUGGCAACUUUGAGCCUUUCUAAGACCACUCAGCCCAUCUCCAUUGACUCCUAUGAAGGACAAGCAGUGAACAUAACUUGUAACCACACUGGCAUUGCUACAAAUGAGUAUAUCUACUGGUACCGGCAGCCCCCCAACCAGGGGCCACGAUUUAUUGUUCAAGGAUAUAAGACCGAUGUGGUGGUGGAUAAAGUGGCAUCUCUGUUUAUUCCUGAGGACAGGAAGACCAGCACCCUGAGACUGCCUCCGACCACACUGAGUGACUCGGCUGUGUACUACUGCAUUGUGGGUGACACAGUGACACAGACAGGGCUGCACCUGUGCAGGAUCCCCCCAGGCUGGGGGCACAGCCAGGGGGAGCCCAAGGGAUGCUUUUGA
Non-coding RNA from Talpa occidentalis (Iberian mole), 414 nucleotides. The record is from the annotation of a RefSeq genome assembly. NCBI's taxonomy places the organism in Eukaryota, Metazoa, Chordata, Mammalia, Eulipotyphla, Talpidae.